This 253-nucleotide ribosomal RNA is filed under the name uncultured bacterium. RNAcentral describes it as "partial 16S ribosomal RNA". It matches the Rfam family "Bacterial small subunit ribosomal RNA", at positions 524 to 776 of the family's 1533-position model. The record is from RNAcentral.
GACGUAGGGCGCGAGCGUUGUCCGGAUUUAUUGGGCGUAAAGAGCUCGUAGGCGGCUUGUCGCGUCGACUGUGAAAACCCGCGGCUCAACUGCGGGCCUGCAGCCGAUACGGGCAGGCUAGAGUUCGGUAGGGGAGACUGGAAUUCCUGGUGUAGCGGUGAAAUGCGCAGAUAUCAGGAGGAACACCGGUGGCGAAGGCGGCAUCCUGGACCAAUAUUGACGCUGAGGAGCGAAAGCCAGGGGAGCAAACGGG